CCUACGGGUGGCAGCAGUGGGGAAUAUUGCACAAUGGGGGAAACCCUGAUGCAGCGACGCCGCGUGAGUGAAGAAGUAAUUCGUUAUUUAAAGCUCUAUUAUCAGGGAUGAAAAUGACGGUACCUGAGUAAGACGCCCCGGCUAACUACGUGCCAGCAGCCGCGGUACUACGUAGGGGGCAAGCGUUAUCCGGAUUUACUGGGUGUAAUGGGAGUGUAGACGGUAGUGCAAGUCUGGGGUGAAAGCCGGAGGCUCAACACCCGGACUGCUAUUGAAACUGUACGGCUGGAGUGUAGGUGAGGUAAGUGGAAUGCCUGGUGUAGCGGUGAAAUGCGUAGAGAUUAGACAGAACACC
RNAcentral lists this ribosomal RNA (355 nucleotides) under uncultured bacterium. RNAcentral describes it as "partial 16S ribosomal RNA". It matches the Rfam family "Bacterial small subunit ribosomal RNA", at positions 338 to 710 of the family's 1533-position model. The record is from RNAcentral.